AACGUAGGUCACGAGCGUUGUCCGGAAUUACUGGGUGUAAAGGGAGCGCAGGCGGGUAUGCAAGUUGGGAGUGAAAUGCAUGGGCUCAACCCAUGAACUGCUCUCAAAACUGUGUAUCUUGAGUAGUGCAGAGGUAGGCGGAAUUCCCGGUGUAGCGGUGGAAUGCGUAGAUAUCGGGAGGAACACCAGUGGCGAAGGCGGCCUACUGGGCACCAACUGACGCUGAGGCUCGAAAGUGUGGGUAGCAAACAGGAUUAGAUACCCCCGUAGUCC
Molecule: ribosomal RNA, 273 nt
Filed under: uncultured bacterium
Lineage: Bacteria
Description: partial 16S ribosomal RNA
Rfam family: Bacterial small subunit ribosomal RNA
Source: RNAcentral